GGCCUCAUCGUCUAGCCAGGUUCAGGACACAGGGUUUUCAACCCUGCAACACGGGUCCAAAUCCCGUUGAGGUCA
This 75-nucleotide transfer RNA is filed under the name Candidatus Brocadiia bacterium. Its description in RNAcentral is "tRNA-Glu". It matches the Rfam family "tRNA". From Rfam's summary of the family: Transfer RNA (tRNA) molecules are approximately 80 nucleotides in length. The record is from RNAcentral. Lineage: Bacteria; Pseudomonadati; Planctomycetota; Candidatus Brocadiia.